This is a non-coding RNA of Clostridium sp. CAG:127, 89 nucleotides long. The record is from Rfam. Lineage: Bacteria; Bacillati; Bacillota; Clostridia; Eubacteriales; Clostridiaceae.
UGCAGGAGAAACCAUUAUGAGCGAAGCGAAUAAUUUAGGAUGGUUUCGACGAUAUGCCGCCGAACGGAUGUGAGGGGGCGAUACCCGAG